This 254-nucleotide ribosomal RNA is filed under the name uncultured bacterium. RNAcentral describes it as "partial 16S ribosomal RNA". It matches the Rfam family "Bacterial small subunit ribosomal RNA", at positions 524 to 776 of the family's 1533-position model. The record is from RNAcentral.
UACGUAGGGUGCGAGCGUUAAUCGGAAUUACUGGGCGUAAAGCGUGCGCAGGCGGUUUUGUAAGCCAGAUGUGAAAUCCCCGGGCUUAACCUGGGAAUGGCAUUUGGGACUGCAAGGCUGGAGUAUGGCAGAGGGGACUAGAAUUCCUGGUGUGGCAGUGAAAUGCGUAGAUAUCGGGAGGAACACCAGUGGCGAAGGCGACUACCUGGCCUGUUUCUUGACGCUGAGGCGCGAAAGCUAGGGGAGCAAACGGG